CCCAGUUGUAGGCAAUUGCAUAGGUUGCCUUGUACCUAGGGAAGUGUUACAGUGCUGGGAGAAAAGCAACCAGUUGCUGAUGGGUGUUCUGGGUCUGGUUAAUGCUAACUCUGUGUUAACUAUACCAAUUUGCCAGCAUAUAGC
This 144-nucleotide small nucleolar RNA is filed under the name Ochotona princeps (American pika). RNAcentral's name for it is "Small nucleolar RNA SNORA74 (ENSOPRG00000024111.1)". Lineage: Eukaryota; Metazoa; Chordata; Mammalia; Lagomorpha; Ochotonidae. The record is from RNAcentral.